CCGCCGGCGACCGGCGGACGGGUGCGUAACGCGUAUGUAACCUACCUUUGACAGGGGGAUAACAUCGAGAAAUUGGUACUAAUACCCCAUAACAUCACCGGAGGCAUCUUCGGUGGUUGAAAACUCAGGUGGUCAGAGAUGGACAUGCGUUGUAUUAGCUAGUUGGUGAGGUAACGGCUCACCAAGGCGACGAUACAUAGGGGGACUGAGAGGUCAACCCCCCACAUUGGUACUGAGACACGGACCAAACUCCUACGGAAGGCAGCAG
RNAcentral lists this ribosomal RNA (268 nucleotides) under uncultured bacterium. RNAcentral's name for it is "partial 16S ribosomal RNA". It matches the Rfam family "Bacterial small subunit ribosomal RNA", at positions 85 to 354 of the family's 1533-position model. The record is from RNAcentral.